This 281-nucleotide unclassified non-coding RNA is filed under the name Helotiales sp. Its description in RNAcentral is "partial contains 5.8S ribosomal RNA, internal transcribed spacer 2, and large subunit ribosomal RNA". The stretch from base 1 to 71 matches the Rfam family "5.8S ribosomal RNA", at positions 84 to 154 of the family's 154-position model. The record is from RNAcentral. Lineage: Eukaryota; Fungi; Ascomycota; Leotiomycetes; Helotiales.
GUGAAUCAUCGAAUCUUUGAACGCACAUUGCGCCCCCUGGUAUUCCGGGGGGCAUGCCUGUUCGAGCGUCAUUACAACCCUCAAGCUCUGCUUGGUAUUGGGCUCUGCCGGUCCCGGCAGGCCCUAAAAUCAGUGGCGGUGCCAUCCGGCUUCAAGCGUAGUAAUUCUUCUCGCUUUGGAGGCCCGGGUGCGUGCUUGCCAGCAACCCCCAAUUUUUUUCAGGUUGACCUCGGAUCAGGUAGGGAUACCCGCUGAACUUAAGCAUAUCAAUAAGCGGAGGA